GCCAAAUGAUGCGAAGUAGAUGGCAUUAGCACUCUGUGCGAAGAUGACUUACAUCUAUCACCCAGAACUGAUGGCU
Small nucleolar RNA from Pelodiscus sinensis (Chinese soft-shelled turtle), 76 nucleotides. Its record names the gene SNORD83. It matches the Rfam family "Small nucleolar RNA SNORD83". From Rfam's summary of the family: U83 (SNORD83) and U84 (SNORD84) are members of the C/D class of snoRNA which contain the C (UGAUGA) and D (CUGA) box motifs. They act as guanine methylation guides but lack complementarity to ribosomal RNA. U83 and U84 are spliced from introns 5 and 4 of the BAT1 gene in mammals. The record is from Ensembl. NCBI's taxonomy places the organism in Eukaryota, Metazoa, Chordata, Testudines, Trionychidae.